AUUCGAUUCCGGAGAGGGAGCCUGAGAAACGGCUACCACAUCUAAGGAAGGCAGCAGGCGCGCAAAUUACCCAAUCCCGGCUCGGGGAGGUAGUGACAAAAAUAACAAUGCGGGACUCUUAUGAGGCUUCGUAAUUGGAAUGAGUACAUUCUAAAUCCUUUAACGAGGAACUAUUGGAGGGCAAGUCUGGUGCCAGCAGCCGCGGUAAUUCCAGCUCCAAUAGCGUAUAUUAAAGUUGUUGCGUCUAAAAAGCUCGUAGUUUGAAAACUUGCCUUGGCUUACAACAGACGUCUAAGGGCGUCACCGUUUGUCGAGAGCAAAUAUGGGUGACUGUUCUUGCCUUCUUCACUGAUUGGCUCGUAAAAGUCAUCGAAGAUCACUUUGAUUAAAUUAGGGUGCUCAAAGCAAGUGUGCUACUUGAAUAUGAAUGCAUGGAAUGAUGGAAUAUGUUGUUGUUCUAUUUGUUGGUUUUUUGAAUGACAAAAUGAUUGAAAGGAACUGUUGGGGGCAUUCGUAUUGUUGUGAGAGAGGUGAAAUUCUUAGACCAUAGCAAGACGAACUACUGCAAAAGCAUUUGCCAAGAAUGUUUUCAUUGAUCAAGAACGAAAGUUAGAGGUUCGAAGGCGAUCAGAUACCGCCCUAGUUCUAACCAUAAACUAUGCCGACUAGCAAUUUGCUUUGUAUUUUUAUGACUAAGUGAGAGGCCACGGGAGACCAAAGUAGGGUUAUGGGGGAAGUAUGGUUGCAAAGCUGAAACUUAAAGGAAUUGACGGAAGGGCACCACCAGGAGUGGAGCCUGCGGCUUAAUUUGACCCAACACGGGAAAACUUACCUGGUCCUGACACUAGAAGGAUUGACAGAUUGAUAGCUCUUUCUUGAUUUGGUGGAUGGUGGUGCAUGGCCGUUCUUAGUUGGUGGAGUGAUUUGUCUGGUUAAUUCCGAUAACGAACGAGACUCUAGCCUAUUAAAUAAUAUGCGGAAUCAAUUUCUCCCGCGUUAUUUCUUAAUGGGAUCAAGCGUGUUUAACGCUUUGAAACAGAGCAAUAACAGGUCUGUGAUGCCCUUAGAUGUUCGGGGCUGCACGCGCGCUACAUUGAAGAACAAAGUGAGCCCUCUGGCUUUUAACAAAGCUAGAAAUCUUUUAAUGUUCUUCUUAAUGGGGAUAGGGGAUUGCAAUUGUGCCCCUUGAACGAGGAAUUCCCAGUAAGUGCUAGUCAUUAGCUAGUACUGAUUACGUCCCUGCCCUUUGUACACACCGCCCGUCGCUACUACCGAUUGAAUAGUUUAGUGAGAUCAUCUGAGUGUUUGUAUGUGCAUUCUGUGCUUGUAUGGUGUACGAAGAAGAUCAAACUUGAUUAUUUAGAGGAAGUAAAAGUCGUAACAAGGUU
This 1388-nucleotide ribosomal RNA is filed under the name metagenome. RNAcentral describes it as "SSU rRNA". It matches the Rfam family "Eukaryotic small subunit ribosomal RNA", at positions 375 to 1801 of the family's 1831-position model. The record is from RNAcentral.